Molecule: ribosomal RNA, 305 nt
Filed under: uncultured bacterium
Lineage: Bacteria
Description: bacterial SSU rRNA
Rfam family: Bacterial small subunit ribosomal RNA
Source: RNAcentral
UUAGCCUACGGGACGCAGCAGUGAGGAAUAUUGGUCAAUGGGCGAGAGCCUGAACCAGCCAAGUCGCGUGAGGGAGUACUGCCCUAUGGGUUGUAAACCUCUUUUGUCGGGGAGCAAAAGCCGGACGUGUCCGUCUGUGAGAGUACCCGAAGAAAAAGCAUCGGCUAACUCCGUGCCAGCAGCCGCGGUAAUACGGAGGAUGCGAGCGUUAUCCGGAUUUAUUGGGUUUAAAGGGUGCGCAGGCGGCGUGUCAAGCAAGCGGUAAAAUAGCGGGGCUCAACCCCGUCGAGCCGUUUGAACUGGCG